CCAGCCUUUCAGUGCAGGCUCCAGCCCUCCACCCCCACCCGAGUUGCAGGAUGUCGAUGACAGACUUGCUGAACGCUGAGGACAUCAAGAAGGCGGUGGGAGCCUUUAGCGAAUUCUCCACUCUGGUGGCUGAAAGCUAAGAAGCACUGACUGCCCCUGGUCUUCCACCUCUCUGCCCUGAACACCCAAUCUCGGCCCCUCUCGCCACCCUCCUGCAUUUCUGUUCAGUUCGUUUAUGUUAUUUUUUACUCCCCCAUCCCCUGUGGCCCUCUAAUGACACCAUUCUUCUGGAAAAUGCUGGAGAAGCAAUAAAGGUUGUACCAGUCAG
This 328-nucleotide long non-coding RNA is filed under the name Homo sapiens (human). RNAcentral describes it as "non-protein coding lnc-IFT27-1:1". Lineage: Eukaryota; Metazoa; Chordata; Mammalia; Primates; Hominidae. The record is from RNAcentral.